AUGAACGCUGGCGACGUGGAUAAGGCAUGCAAGUCGAGGGCUCCGACCUUGUGUCGGAGACCGGCAGACGAGGUAGUAAUACGCAGGUACGCCCCCCAAAGUUGGGCAUAGCUCGCCGAAAGGCGGGGUAAUUCCCAAUGGUCUCCGCCUUUGGCGGAGUAAAGAUUUAUCGCUUUGGGAGCGGCCUGUGCAGUAUCAGCUUGUUGGUAGGGUAACGGCCUACCAAGGCUAUGACGCUUAGGGGAGGUGAGAGCCUGGCCCCCACCGAUGGCACUGAGAUACGGGCCAUACACCUACGGGUGGCCGCAGUCGAGAAUCUUCCACAAUGGGCGAAAGCCUGAUGGAGCGACGUCGCGUGAUUGAUGAAGUCCUUCGGGACGUAAAGAUCUUUUAUGAGGGAGAAAGUUAUUGAUAGUACCUCAUGAAUAAGGGGUUGCUAAACUCGU
Molecule: ribosomal RNA, 446 nt
Filed under: uncultured bacterium
Lineage: Bacteria
Description: bacterial SSU rRNA
Rfam family: Bacterial small subunit ribosomal RNA
Source: RNAcentral